This 493-nucleotide ribosomal RNA is filed under the name uncultured Banisveld landfill bacterium BVB43b. RNAcentral describes it as "bacterial SSU rRNA". It matches the Rfam family "Bacterial small subunit ribosomal RNA", at positions 1 to 524 of the family's 1533-position model. The record is from RNAcentral.
CACGGAUCCAGACUUUGAUCAUGGCUCAGGAUGAAUGCUGGCGGCGUGCCUAACACAUGCAAGUCGAGCGGCAGCGCGGUCUUCGGAUUGGCGGCGAGCGGCGGACGGCUGAGUAACGCGUGGGAACGUACCCCAAAGUGAGGAAUAACCGCCCGAAAGGGUGGCUAAUGCCGCAUAUGAUCUUCGGAUUAAAGGAUUUAUCCGCUUUGGGAAUGGCCUGCGUACGAUUAGAUAGUUGGUGAGGUAAAGGCUCACCAAGUCGGCGAUCGUUAACUGGUCUGAGAGGAUGAUCAGUCAGACUGGAACUGAGAUACGGUCCAGACUCCUACGGGAGGCAGCAGUGAGGAAUCUUCCACAAUGGGCGAAAGCCUGAUGGAGCAACGCCGCGUGCAGGAUGAAGGCCUUCGGGUCGUAAACUGCUUUUAUAAGUGAAGAAUAUGACGGUAACUUAUGAAUAAGCACCGGCUAACUACGUGCCANNAGCCGCGGUCAU